UCUUUUCCCAAGAUUCACUUGGCUCCUCAGGACAGAGAGACUAUAACUGAGGGGAGUAAGACCAGAGCAGCAAGGGACGUGUCCCCAAAGAUGAUAAGGAAGGGAAUGAGGAUAUACAAAGCUUCGAGGGUUCAGAAGAAUCUGGCCUGAGUCUCAUCCUCCUCCACCGCUACCGAACACUUAAUGGGGAGAUCUUCUUCAAACUCACAACCACAGAGAACUCAUUGUUUGUGGGCAGGCGGGAGCAGAGUCACAUGUGGACUUCCUGGGACGUCACACCUUCCCCUGGGCCUCUGCUUGUCCAUCUAAGAAAGGAGAAGGUGAGGCCAGAAGGGCUCGGCAUUUCCCUCCAGCUCUGAUGCACUGUGAUCUUUGAAGGUCAGAGAAACAGGAAGGGAGGCCACAGCUGCAAAGUACAGGCAGGGCGGAGAGCUGUGUGGAGCAGACCCAGGGAAGGAAGGAGGCAGAGAGAUCAACACACACGCAGCCAAGACAGAGGCAGACACUCAACUCUGGGGUCUGUAGUGCUCCCCUGCCACAUCCCCUGAGAGGUGUGAAGGUUUGUGUCCUCCAGCAAGGGCCAGCCACCCACCUCCUGAGGGAAAGCGGGUCCCAGGGGGAGCCCAGAGAGGAGGACCCUCGGAAGGACUAGUCAAGUGCUCCAGAUAAGAGCACAUGCACCAGGAACACCAACCCUUUGUUUUCUAUGUUUCUUGUUUAGGAUUCUUUCUCCCCCUCUCUCCCUCUCUCUCUCUCCCUCUCUCCCCUAGCUUCCUACUAUGCAGCUUCCCUGCUGAAUAACUCAGCUGUAAAGAAAAAGGAAUUUAUCUACUCCUAGACCAGGAUAAGGAGACUCCGGUACUCUCCAACUUUUUUGAUUGAUACCUCCUGUAGGUGAAAACUUCUUAAAUAAGCAAUUCCAAUACAUGUAUUGGGUUUGUAAAUCACAAACCGGCUACAUUGUAAAACAUACAUAAAAUGGAAGAUGUAAGGGAAUGAUCUAGACACACUUAACUUCUAGUAUUUUCUCUUUGCAUCCAGUGCGUUAUCCCGUGCCUGGCCCAGGGCCUGAGGACUGAGACGAGGAAGCUCUAGGCAGAGCGUGCGCAGAGACCUCAGCAGGCCGAGCGGGGAGAUUUUCCUCACGUGUUCUUCCUUCCUUGUGCUGCAAGUUAUUUUUUAAAUGGGGCCAUUCCUUCAUAAACACACAGAAGCCACAACAGAGAGAGAGAGCAAGUGUAGGGAGGAACAGAGACAGUAAGAGGAAACCUGAGAGCGGCGAGUCUAAGGCCUGGAAAAUAAGAGACAGGGAAAAUUGUGAAGGCCAGUGAGAGCCAGCAGCCGCCCCGCAAACAGAGGGCGCUGACAGGGAAGGGCCCCGGGAAAGUCCUGGGUCAGAUGGGGAGGCUCAGGGGCAUCCUCCUGGUC
Long non-coding RNA from Hipposideros armiger (great roundleaf bat), 1428 nucleotides. RefSeq lists it as uncharacterized. The transcript is spliced from 3 exons. NCBI's taxonomy places the organism in Eukaryota, Metazoa, Chordata, Mammalia, Chiroptera, Hipposideridae. The record is from RefSeq and is a predicted model, not a curated record.